GAUGAACGCUGGCGGCGUGCCUAAUACAUGCAAGUCGAGCGAACGGACGAGAAGCUUGCUUCUCUGAUGUUAGCGGCGGACGGGUGAGUAACACGUGGAUAACCUACCUAUAAGACUGGGAUAACUUCGGGAAACCGUAGCUAAUACCGGAUAAUAUUUUGAACCGCAUGGUUCAAAAGUGAAAGACGGUCUUGCUUUCACUUAUAGAUGGAUCCGCGCUGCAUUAGCUAUUUGGUAAGGUAACGGCUUACCAAGGCAACGAUGCAUAGCCGACCUGAGAGAGUGAUCGGCCACACUGGAACUGAGACACGGUCCAGACUCCUACGGGAGGCAGCAGUAGGGAAUCUUCCGCAAAGGGCGAAAGCCUGACGGAGCAACGCCGCGUGAGUGAUGAAGGUCUUCGGAUCGUAAAACUCUGUUAUUAGGGAAGAACAUAUGUGUAAGUAACUGUGCACAUCUUGACGGUACCUAAUCAGAAAGCCACGGCUAACUACGUG
Molecule: ribosomal RNA, 497 nt
Filed under: uncultured bacterium
Lineage: Bacteria
Description: partial 16S ribosomal RNA
Rfam family: Bacterial small subunit ribosomal RNA
Source: RNAcentral